UGACUGUGCUCUGUCAGUGUAAAAUAACAGAGCGGGGUCAUCGGAUGCUGAGAAGCAUAGGAGCUCCAAACUUCAAGUAGCUUCAGAUUAGCUCAAGAACAGUAGAGUGUAGAGAACUUUGUGGAAUGGAGAGUUUCCAUGGCCAAGCAGCUCCAUCCUUACAUUUGGCAAUAUAAUUUAGUAGGAAAAAAUGUAAUAUGCUAACAGUUCUGUUGAAUUUAUGUAACGUUCUCCAUCAAGCCAAAUGCCACAAAUGCUUGAUAUCAGCUUCCAUCUGUCUUUCUCUUUUACAGCUCGGCUUUACAGUCUUGAUGAAUCUCACCAGUGCUGCCCUGGCUUUAACUUCCAUUGGGUUCUACAUUGUAGAAUUAACAUGUAUGCCAUUUGCUUGUAAUACGGACUCUGACACCUUGGAGAUGAUGCAGAUAGGGCUGGAGAUCACCAUGAUUGUGUUGGGCGUCCUUCAGUUUUAUGUCACGGUCAGCUGGUGUGUUCUGAGCAUGCAGGUUCUGUACAAGGAGAAGAAAGGAGUCAUGAUGGUAAAGAUGUCUUUUAAAGAGUGCUGAUAAUGUUAACAUGUUAACGCAUGUGCUUAAUCUGGAA
Molecule: long non-coding RNA, 603 nt
Filed under: Astyanax mexicanus (Mexican tetra)
Lineage: Eukaryota; Metazoa; Chordata; Actinopteri; Characiformes; Acestrorhamphidae
Description: lncRNA (ENSAMXG00005020252.1)
Source: RNAcentral